GUAAAAUCUGUGCCUACGUUCUGUAACUCUCGCAUCGAGAAAUUUCUCGCAUGAAACAGGCAAAUCGAAACAAAAAUAAUGUGAAUCGGCACAAAAACUGUUUUCUCACAUUCGCUUGUGUCUGUAUCUUGAAUUUUCUCGACUUGAAACGUUUCGGAAUAAAAUUGACUGGAAGCCUGGAAAAAUGUGAAUAAAACUGUUUCUGUAAAAAAAUUAUCGAGAUAAUUCCUCGAUUUUUCUGUCAAAAUUACUCACAAGCAAAAAUAAUGUGAGAAAGGAAUCAAUGAAAGAUGUCUGAAAAAAAAGAGCCGAAAAACCAAAGAAUUUCCAAAAAUCAAAAAGAAAAGCUGGUGGAAUAUAUGUCCACGCAUUUAGAAUUUGCAAGGGGGCAAUUCGGAACAACCAACGCUAAUGUUAAGAGCCAGGGAGAUUGGCUGGCUUUAACUACAAAAUUAAACUCCUUGGGCGGUAGUAACAAAACUACCGAUCAGUGGAAAAAGUCAUUAGUUGUGUUUUUUGGCAAAGAUAUACGCAGUAGGAUUCCCCAAAUAUCAAUAUUAAAAAAAGUUAUAUGCAUGUACCAAGAUAAAGGAACAAAUAAACAAAAAUACUUCGUAAAAAUUCAAUUCGCAGCUAUACUUAGCUUCUAUUCUUAUCGGUAGUUGGGUCUUGUUAUUGUAAUACAUGUAAACUUAAACUGUGGAUACGGAUAGCAAUGCCAAAAAACACAGGUAUUGAUGAAAUGCCUUUAUCUUAAGACUUUAAAUAUUAUAUAGCUUU
Episyrphus balteatus (marmalade hoverfly) is the source of this 780-nucleotide long non-coding RNA. RefSeq lists it as uncharacterized. Lineage: Eukaryota; Metazoa; Arthropoda; Insecta; Diptera; Syrphidae. The transcript has 3 exons. The record is from RefSeq and is a predicted model, not a curated record.